CCUACGGGAGACAGCAGUGGGGGAUAUUGGACAAUGGGGGGAACCCUGCUCCAGCGACGCCGCGUGAGUGAAGACGUAUUUCUGUAUGUAAAGCUCUGUCAGCAGGGAAGAAAGAAAUGACGGUACCUGACCCAGAAGCCCCGGCUAACUACGUGCCAGCCGCCGCGGUAAUACGUAGGGGGCAAGCGUUAUCCGGAAUUACUGGGUGUAAAGGGAUCGUAGACGGUUAAGUAAGUCUGGAGUGAAAGGGCGGGGCCCAACCCCGGGACUGCUCUGGAGACUAUUGAACUGGAGUGCAGGAGAGGUAAGCGGAAUGCAUAGUGUAGCGGUGAAAUGCGUAGAGAUGAGGAGGAACACCAGUGGCGAAGGCGGCUUACUGGACUGUAACUGACGUUGAGGCUCGAAAGCGUGGGGAGCAAACAGGAUUAGAUACCCCUGUAGUC
RNAcentral lists this ribosomal RNA (443 nucleotides) under uncultured bacterium. Its description in RNAcentral is "partial 16S ribosomal RNA". It matches the Rfam family "Bacterial small subunit ribosomal RNA", at positions 338 to 795 of the family's 1533-position model. The record is from RNAcentral.